RNAcentral lists this ribosomal RNA (497 nucleotides) under uncultured bacterium. RNAcentral describes it as "partial 16S ribosomal RNA". It matches the Rfam family "Bacterial small subunit ribosomal RNA", at positions 28 to 507 of the family's 1533-position model. The record is from RNAcentral.
GAUGAACGCUGGCGGCGUGCCUAAUACAUGCAAGUCGAGCGAACGGACGAGAAGCUUGCUUCUCUGAUGUUAGCGGCGGACGGGUGAGUAACACGUGGAUAACCUACCUAUAAGACUGGGAUAACUUCGGGAAACCGGAACUAAUACCGGAUGAUAUUUUGAACCGCAUGGUUCAAAGGUGAAAGACGGUCUUGCUGUCACUUAUAGAUGGAUCCGCGCUGCAUUAGCUAGUUGGUAAGGUAACGGCUUACCAAGGCAACGAUGCAUAGCCGACCUGAGAGGGUGAUCGGCCACACUGGAACUGAGACACGGUCCAGACUCCUACGGGAGGCAGCAGUAGGGAAUCUUCCGCAAUGGGCGAAAGCCUGACGGAGCAACGCCGCGUGAGUGAUGAAGGUCUUCGGAUCGUAAAACUCUGUUAUUAGGGAAGAACAUAUGUGUAAGUAACUGUGCACAUCUUGACGGUACCUAAUCAGAAAGCCACGGCUAACUACGUG